AACGAACGCUGGCGGCAGGCUUAACACAUGCAAGUCGAACGGGCAUAGCAAUAUGUCAGUGGCAGACGGGUGAGUAACACGUGGGAACCUUCCUAGAGGUACGGAACAACGCAGGGAAACUUGCUAAUACCGUAUACGCUGGAGACAGGAAAGAUUUAUCGCCUUUAGACGGGCCCGCGUAGGAGUAGGUAGUUGGUGAGGUAAUGGCUCACCAAGCCUACGAUCCUUAGCUGAUCCGAGAGGAUGAUCGGCCACGCUGGAACUGAGACACGGUCCAGACUCCUACGGGAGGCAGCAGUGGGGAAUCUUGGACAAUGGGCGCAAGCCUGAUCCAGCCAUGCCGCGUGAGUGAAGAAGGCCUUCGGGUUGUAAAGCUCUUUUACCAGGGACGAUAAUGACGGUACCUGGAGAAUAAGCCCCGGCUAACUUCGUGCCAGCAGCCGCAGUAA
Molecule: ribosomal RNA, 449 nt
Filed under: uncultured bacterium
Lineage: Bacteria
Description: partial 16S ribosomal RNA
Rfam family: Bacterial small subunit ribosomal RNA
Source: RNAcentral